CUGCCCCCCCCCCCCCAACAAACAAAAAAGAGUAGGGCUCCUCUUCUUAAAUCGUUCACUUGAGUGGGUGGAUGAGGUGAAAGGGGGUGUGAUGGGUAUCCCUUGGCACUUGUAAGACUAAGCACCUUAAACUGAACUAAUGCACUUUAUUAUUACGUUUGAAUCAUUUUUUUUAUGAAUACAGAAUCGGUGUGUGUGGUGUGUGUGUGUGUGUUGAAUCUACAUGCAAUGCCGUAUGUAUACACGUGAAAAUCUGAACUGGAAGGGUGAGGUGAAUGGUUGGUGGGAUAGGCUCACUGGGAGGGGGAACUCAAAGGUAGAGGGGGCCUUUAUUUUGAAACCUUUCUUUAAAGACAAACACUGUUGUUUUUUUUUGUUUUUUUAAGACAAUACAUUUAUAUAAAAAGUAAAGCUAUUACAAAAAAAUGGAUACAAAGAAAACUUGAAGAUUUGCACUUGUGUUAAAAAAGAAAGAUAAAAUAAAAAAACAAAUGAGGUUAGGUAUAGAGAUGAAUAUUUUGUGUGUGUGUGAGGGCUGCUGUGUAUCAGAAACAUACUAGUCUGCACAAUGUAUAUAUUUUUUCCAUUGCUUACCAAGAUGUACGUCAUUUGGUUCAAAUUAGAUACAUUUUUUUCUUUUUCUUUCAUGAGUAGAACGUCUGUCCUCUUGUACAGAGGGACUUUCUUUGAAUACUUGUGUGUGAGACCGAGAGUGAGAGGGCAAUCCCACAACACAUCCUUCCUCUCACCAGCUCGUCAUCCCCAGAUAGACGUAGUGGAAACACAUACAUUUGUAGAGGAGGAUUAUGGCUUUAUGUUGUUGACCACCACUUGUUUGUUUUUUCCUGUGUGAUUUUGGAGUAUGGGCUAUACCCCUCCCCUGCAGUCUUCUCUCAGCCACGGUCUCUGAGCCUCUGUGAGGUUUCAAACAGACAGUGGUAAGGAUCUUUAGUGUGUGUGUACGCCUGUGUCUUUACUAAUCAUAGGAAAUAAGUGAUCCCUACAGGUACUUAUCUAUGUGUGUGUGUGUGUGUGUGUGUAUAUGCAUGCACAUUUUUGCCUUAGAACUCUGAAAGGGUGAAUGGGAGGGAAUGUUCAAUGACCAUUGAGACAUGAACUACUUUUGAGUGUACUGUGAUGUUAAGUUAAAGGAGAAUUGAACUAUUUUUAGGGACCUAAUCUUUAUUUUUCAUGUAAAUGGCAUGUUAUUAGAAAGGGUCCAGACGACAUAAUUUUUUGCAAUUUCAUUUGGUUUUGAGGAACUUACCCAGAAGCGAUUGACUUCCUGGGCCUCAUUCUGGAGUUCCAGGACAUCCCAAAACAUGAAAAACGGCAGAGCGUUUCUGUUUGUAAAAAUAUGUUUUUGGAGCCUUUUCAUGUUUUUUGGAUGCCCCGGAACUCCAGGCUCGAGAAGUCAAUCCCUGCCGGGGUACAUUUUUCAAAACCAAGUGAAAUUGCAAAAAGAAGGGUCUAAACCUUGUAUAACAUUCCACUUACAUCCAAAAUAAAGAUGAGGUUCUUAAUGAAAUUCUCUUAAGCGCUCUGCACAGUCAAUGUGCAUGUCAGUCAUGUAUCCUAAUAUUUCUAGUAUAGCCUGGGGAUGAAGAUGACUCUUCUUCUUUGUAAGGUUAGUCCGGUUUAGUUUUCCUGGGACGUGAUCACGUUGCCUUGUCGGCUUUCUUUAACUUGCGCGUGAAAGGUGUUGAGUUUCAGAUUCUGCUCAAAACGAUUGGCAUCAAACUGUCUGUGUACAGGACGGUGCACAACAUGUUAGCAUAUUCGUGUUACUUAUUGUUGUUGCUAUUGAUAAUGAUGGUGGUGACUUUUUUCUGAAUAUAAAUGAACAUUUAUAUAUGAAUAUAUACAAAGAAGAAAAAAAAAAGAUUUGGACUAAGAUUAUGAUAAGCACUUGGGGCUGCUUUUUUUUUUUCUUCAUUUGUUUUUGUUUCAUUACCGCCAUGUGAAGUGCGGUUUGUUAUUUCUUAAGAAAACUUUGAAUGUAUUCCCCUCCUCCCAAAAAAAAGACAAAAUGUGAUGAUACCGGAUAGAAUUUCAACAACAACAACAAAAACUCAGAUUGAAGAGGUCUUUCACCUUUUCUUUUUUACUCCGAGGAAGAACUCGGGAUGGCUACAGUUGAUCCCACUGCCUCUGCAAUCCUGUUCUUACAAAAACAAUAUUACUAUGAGAAAUAAAAUAGACAAUUUUCUAUUCCUUACUGGAUUUUUGGUUGUUUACAAAACACAGAUUUCUGUGGGUGCAGUUUUUUUGUGUAGGGGUGGGGUUUUGCGCGUGUGCUUCUGCAAUAUGGACGUUCAUUGGCGUACAUUGUUUUUGGCGGGAGGAGGAGGGACACCACAAUGUGACGGACAAGAUCCUUGCCCUUUGACCCUUUAGUGGGCAUGGCUCUUUGGAAUGGACUGAUCCUCAAGGAGCGCAGGAGAAAGAAUUCAACAACAAAGUUAGUUUUUGGGGGGAUUUCAUUAUUAGUGUGUCUUCCGGUUUCAUUUAGUUACUUUUUUGUUGUUGAACUGCCUAUCUUAACUAGACAAGUACUAAAAGAAGUAUAAAGCUUAAACAAAAAGCAGGGCACAGCAGAGGUGUUUUUUUGGUACUUCGACCACGAAUAAAGGAAACAACAAUAUAAUCGCUUUAAUAGGAGAGAAAAAAUGCCCUGGAGUGAAAUUGUGGAGUUUUAUUUUUUAUCCACAAAGAGACAGAUGGACAAAUCUGAGGGGUGGAUGAGAAUAAAGGAAAUUUGAAGAUUUUGUAAAACUGUACAUACAUGAUGUUGACCUCAAAUCUACCAUUGCAUUUGAUUGGACUGUGUCAGCAGCAUAUCUUACUUUUUAUCAUUAUACUUUUUUAAGGGGGCUCAGGGUGUGCAGUGGGAGUGUAUUAACCCUGCAAUGAGGGGAAAUGAAAGGGUACCAGUACUGAUCCCUGGGGGACACCCCUCGACACUCACACCCUGCCCUGACACUCACUAUGCACUUUCUAACUGUGAGGUUCCAUUACAUUUGGGACGGGAGCACAGAAAUAUUAUAGUACAAAGGGAGGGUUGGAAAAUGUAACUUUUUGAAUUUUUAGUUAGUACCGCCUCACUGAAAACGAGAUUCAAACCGAAACGAAAGACUUAGGAACACACCUUCCUCCUCCUGUACAUAACCAUAUUUUUGUAUUACCUUUUUUUAGAAAAUCACUUGGACAAAACCACAAGGCUUGAUAUAAAAACAAACAGAUGAAAGAAAUUCAAGACAGAUUGAGGAACAGAGUGAAUGUUCCUCAAGGAAACAUGUUUUAUUUUUUUUUGAAAAUACUGAGGUAAAUUAACUACCUGGAAGUUCCCUUGACUUUGCCAGUGGCCCUGUCUAUCAUCAGGAAUGGCGAAAGAAAGGACUUAACGUGGAUGGAGCUGCGGACUGUAGGGACUACCAAGACUGAUUGGUGAUCAUCGUCUGUCAUCAAAAUGGACUCCGCUGCAGAGCCCAGCCCCGGGUGUUUGAACAACAAUCGCCAACCAAUGGAGAACGCAGGGGAGACACAACACAAACGAUGGAUGUACGGGGAGACCUUCUGCCCAGAUGCCCCCCCGCCUUCUGCCACCUAGCCACUGCCUGGAGAUCAACUACAAGGUGACUGCAAGAAGAGAACCAACAUAUAGGAUUCUAACUGUUCCUAGCUGCCCUCUGUUGGAAAGGAGAUGGAGCGUACUGUAUCUUCAAACCUUUCUUUUCCUCUUCUUUCUGCCCCCUGGUGGUAAAAGUGCCAAGCAGAAACCACAGCAGCAGAGGAACUUGAACAGUGGACUACACACAAACGUAGAGCUUUACUCAUGUGUACAGUACACGCAGCUGGAUUCUGGUAAAAUAAUUGCAAGCACACAUUCUCAAAAAGACUUGCUCUUUUCUAGAACCACAUUCACACACACAACUAAUAGAGCCUGUCAUUACACCAGUGUUUCCCAAACUCGGUCCUGGAGGCCCCAAGGGGUGCACUACACAGCUGAUUCAAAUAAUCAACUAAUCAUCAAGCGCUGGUUAUUCGAAUCAGUUGUGUAGUGCUAGGGCAUAAACAAAAACGUGCACCCCUUGGGGUCCCCAGGACCGAGUUUGGGAAACACUGCAUGACACAUUCAUGCACACACACAAGCGGAAAGGCUCAAUACUACACACUUGAGUUCAAACUCCAAUGUAAAUAACGUGAAAGUAUUUUGUUUUCGUCUAAUUGUUUUUCUUUUCUCUCUGUUCAACAUGCCUUAACUGUACAGAUCUGCCUUGUAUGGCAAACUCUAAAUAUUCAAUAAACAGUAAGAGAACAUAAGGACAAUAGCAUUUGAAGGGGAGGUCUGUUCUACUUACUUGGACAGGACUGUCUUAUUGGCUAACAAUACUGUUGUAUGUUACGUUAUUUCUGUCCAGCAUCUAUCGCACGUUAGCAUGAAAGUAGAACUGUAGAAAACCCCUUACGACAAUGAUGAUGGUGGUUUGCCUUUUUUGAAAGCAAGAGUGUUUCUUUUCAGAUAUCCAGUUUUAAAUGCCUAUACAUGUAGUUGGUGUAGGGUGAGGAAUGAGAAGUCUGGAGUAUAGUGUGGAGCUGAGCUGACUUGGAAGGGUAUGUUAAAGGCCCAGUGCACCCCAAAAAAAACGACUUUAUAUAGAGUAUAUUUCCACACUGAGGUUUGAAUAAUACUGUAAAACUGUGAAAAUGUUAAUGCUCUUUUAGUUUAAGAGCUAUUUGAAAAGACUGCCUAUUUUGGUGGGAUGGAGUUUUUGCCUGCAUGGUGACAUAGACCAAUAAGAAAAAGCGUUCCAAACCUCUCUGCCAAUAACAGCUAGUUUAGUUUCCCUCCCCACUCAGACCACUCCCAGACAGUCCUUGCUAAAUUCUUGCUUGAUAAAUUGAUCUUUGCUAAGAAGCUGUUUUUGUUUCUUUUUGACCAUUUGAAAUAAAUGAAAUCACAGUAAGGUAAUUAAACUGUUUCCCAGAAAUGAUUUGAUAUUGAGAUGUCUGCAUUGGACUUUUAAAAUCUGUCCUCUCUCUCACACACACACACACACACACACACACACAGCCCCACUACAUAUGACUAUUUACCCCAUCACUAGUAAUGUUUUGACGGAAAGGAUUUUGACACAAUGAUUCACAUUAUGAGACUUGAUUUGAAAGAUGUUCAACUGUUUUAUCUUGGUGCUUUAAAAUGGAGGAUAUAUUUAUUAUUGGCGUUCUCGGAGUAGCCUGAAUUGUCCCUAAACAUUUGACUACUGACCAUUUGUAAUGACUUAUGUCCCUGUAUAUUAGAAGCGUCUACCGUAGCUAAUGGUAUUGAAUGGCUGUAUACGAGUCAAGGUUUACUCAACAGAUUGAGUGGCUGAUACUUGUUGCUAUAUGUAUUCCAUUAUACAGUUGAUAAUGGGUUUGUCUCCUACUGAAGGUGCUUGGAACAGUUCUGAAACUUGUUAGUUUGUUUUUCGUAUGGAGAAACCCAAGACUUCCCCUGUUAGUUAGGUUGAAUGGAUUAAUUCUUUUGAAAGUGUUUUCCUAUUUAGAAUCAGUUCUGGUUGGUCCGACAAACAAGUAUUAACUUCCGUUGUAGGAUAUGACUGUGGUUCAGGUUUUUCCAUAUAUGUUAGCUUUGGCUUUCUACCCAGCUAGCACAUUUGGUUCCUUGGAAGUUGUGGGAAUGUUGUGUUUUUUUGUUUCCCAUUGGUUGUGGGAAGAAGCCAUUCCUUUCCUAACUGGUAAAACAGAAGAAGAAAAAUGUACGUUCUGAGAACAGCAGUGAAAACUUUGCCUGUUCUGGGAAUGUUUAUUUUUAGGUUGCAGGGAGGUUCUUACAACGUUUUACUCUGGUUCCUUUGAAGUUCCCCUCUGAGGUUUUAUUAAAGACUGAGAACGGAAAUUCUAGGUACUUGGAUUUUUUUUUUUUAAAUAACUUCCUUAACUUUCACUGAAAGUUUCAAUAAGAAACUGAACGUUUCAAGAACACCGCUAGCUUAUUUGGGGUUAACUGUUUAAACUCCAAGCACAGAUCAGACACAUGGAAAUCGAUGCAAACAUAAAAACAUAACAAGAGUGUUUUGUGAUGCUGAGAACAGAAUGUAUGUUUUGCAAUAACGUUCUCUGAACAUUUAAAGUUUUUAUAGGACGUUUUAAACAAUGAGAACUUAACUUUAAAUAGAACCAUGAGGAAACGUUAUGCUGAAGUACUGAAAUUCCCACAGAAUUACGUUCUUUAACGUUCUCUGAACUAUGAGAACAUUCCCAAUGUCAAACCAGUUGGAGAAUGUUCUUAAAACAUUACCAAAACUUAACUUAAAUGUAACCAUGUUUGAACUUUUAGGAAACAUUCUGUUAAAAGUAAUGACAUUUGACAAAGUGCUGAGAAUGUUCCAAAGCCAAGCAACUAUCCUGCAACAUUCCCAGAAAGUUGUGGGAAGGUCAUAUGCAAAAUCAACACGACCAGACUCCCACGAAACUAAUAAACAUAUGGUUCUCAGAAAGUUAAGUUUUAGCUGGGUUGGUUUUGAAUACACUCUAUUCAGUCCGUUUGGAUCAGUUGAGGUAUUGGUUAGUGCAGAUUGGGGAAUAUCUAAAAUGUCACUGAAGUACUUUGUGAAGACAGAGAGAGCAGGGUAUUGUCAUUAUUUGAAUUCCAUCGGUCAGAUAAGGAUGCCAGUGGCAUGCUGGUUUGCAGGGAGCUGUGUUUCAAAUGUAGCCACCAAUUAUUCUAGUCUGUUGUUGAAUGACUGGUGGUUAUCAUAUGUUAGUCUGUCAAGUCUCCAGCUGUUGACAUUUCAGAUUUUCUGUUAAAUCCUUGAAGUUCAAAAGUGAUUGAUGUUUUGGCAUUGUGAUGCCCCUGGGGGAGAUGAUUAAUUUACCAAUUUAUCAAAUGAUAUUUUCCCUUGUUUCACCCAGUCAGCUCAAUUCCAUCACUUAAACUUUUUGAAUGAGUUUAGUAACAUAAAUGCAUUCAGAAAAAUGAACAUACCUAAAGAAUUGUAAAUAGUUUGUUUUUUGUUUGAAGAGAACCAAAAGUGAUUAAAUAAAAUGCAUUUGAUGGGUAU
Molecule: long non-coding RNA, 7067 nt
Organism: Oncorhynchus kisutch (coho salmon)
Lineage: Eukaryota; Metazoa; Chordata; Actinopteri; Salmoniformes; Salmonidae
Exons: 2
Source: RefSeq, a predicted model, not a curated record